GACGAACGCUGGCGGCGUGCUUAACACAUGCAAGUCGAACGGAAAGGCCCUGCUUUUGUGGGGUGCUUGAGUGGCGAACGGGUGAGUAACACGUGAGUAACCUGCCCUUGACUUUGGGAUAACUUCAGGAAACUGGGGCUAAUACCGGAUAGGAGCUCCUGCUGCAUGGUGGGGGUUGGAAAGAUUCGGCGGUUGGGGAUGGACUCGCGGCUUAUCAGCUUGUUGGUGGGGUAGUGGCUUACCAAGGCUUUGACGGGUAGCCGGCCUGAGAGGGUGACCGGCCACAUUGGGACUGAGAUACGGCCCAGACUCCUACGGGAGGCAGCAGUGGGGAAUAUUACACAAUGGGCGGAAGCCUGAUGCAGCAACGCCGCGUGCGGAAUGACGUCCUUCGGGUUAUAAACCGCUUUCGCCUGUGACGAAGCGUGAGUGACGGUAAUGGGUAAAGAAGCACCGGCUAACUACGUG
RNAcentral lists this ribosomal RNA (468 nucleotides) under uncultured bacterium. RNAcentral's name for it is "partial 16S ribosomal RNA". It matches the Rfam family "Bacterial small subunit ribosomal RNA", at positions 28 to 507 of the family's 1533-position model. The record is from RNAcentral.